UCCUGCCUGCAAUAUGCACAGCUGUGCCGGGAGGAGCCUGGCCCUUCAUCAGGUACACCCUGCCCCACAGCUAUUUAGUCCCUGAGGAAGCACCAUCCCUCUUUUGGGGAGGGCAGCAGCUGCAGCUUCUCAUCCUGGCGUGACCACCAGCCUGUUUGCAAGCCCAACCUGGAGAGAUGUGGUGCCAUGGCCACUGGAGCUGGUGGGGCUGCCACUGCCAUCACCCAGGUACUGCCGGUGCCUUUGUUUUAAAGUCGGGGCACCCUAAAAGUAAAACGGCUUGGAUCUCAGCACUCCUUGCACGAAGGCCAGGGAGAGGUAGUGACUGUGAGGAGGGCCGAUUCUGGUCGCUGCCCAGAAUUGGGCUGAUUUUGGGAAUUCUGCAGGAGUAUCCCAUGCCCUGGUGCACGCCACGUGCAGAUUGUCAGGACUGGUGUUUGUACACAAGUUUUACAACUACUUGGGAUCAGAAAGGGGUUUGUCAUGUCGAGCAGUGGCUCAUGAGCACACGCGUGUUGUGGCGCAUGUUUACUCUGUGGAAAAUUGCAUUUAUAGACUGGGGAGAACAAGCUGCUCCCAGCGAGCCAGCUGUCAUUAUAGGUUAUGGCAGCCCUUCCCAGACCACUGCCUUAAACAGGAAGGCAGAGAGACGUCUGCCCUCUCUUCAGUUUUACAAACCAAACCCAUCACAGUGUUUUGAAAUGCUCAAACCAGAGCUCAGAAUAACCCCAUUCUUGUGCUUCGGUUUGUAUGUGCAAUUAUACCUUGCGACAGGAAGAAAACCAUGUUAAUUACAUUUCACAGAAAACACGUUUCUCUUCUGCUUUCCUAGACUGUUCUGCAGGGAGAUUACUGUGUUGAAAUAAAAACACGAACAAGCCAACCAACCGCUGUUUUCAUUGGAAAGCCCAGUUUCCCCCCUGCCACUCGUCAGGGUAGGCUCUGCUCGGAUGAAGAGAUUUCCUGGAGAGUAACAGCUGAACAACCUGCAGGAAAAAUGCUCCUUCUGGGCACUGCUCUCUUCCAGACCCUGUUUUCAGCUUUUUUAACACCUGAGUGUUCCUAACACCUUUCCCACUGGAGGCUUGGCUACCUGGGCAGCCUGCUGGGGUGGGCAGCUGGGAGAAGAAGACCAACACAUGAGAGUGUGGUGUGGGUGGUGGAACUGGUGCUCAUCAGUGUGGUUUUUAAAGAAUAAUGGCUUUAAUGUGCAAUAACACCAAUACAGGAGGAGUAAGCGGAGAAGAGCGAACAAGAGAGUUAGUGAGACUUAGUGGAGUAUUGUGUACUGUUUAAGUGGGGGCAUCUUGAAAAUGCUCCCGAGCACCAGAGGGUACGAUCCUUUGAAAUGCAGCACAGGUGGACACCUCUUAGCCAAGGGCUAAAAAAAUAUGCACUGGGAUGCCUUGUGUACGGCUGAAAAAAGUGAAAAAUUAACCCCAACAUGUGUGACAAAGGUGCAAGGUCUUAGAAGUAAGCCAUGGCCACUGCGAUCACGAAUAGGAGAAAUGCUCACAGCACAUCUGCUGGAUGGCAGGAUUUGGCCCAACGCAAGCUGUUGGGCUCGGGUUCCUCGUGCCCCCACUAAUUGCUGCAUGUGGAUGGCGUGGGGCAGCGGGUGCAGACAGGCUAAUUGUCCGCAGGCCGUGUGGUGGUGAAACAGGAGCAGCCCUGCUGUCUGAGGCUUCAAUUUGCAGUGUCUGCACAGCCCACGUAACAGAAAGCCGCCCAACACACAGUCCCUGCGUGUAUGAAUGCAGCUUUUCCCCACCGAAGUCUAUGGGGAGGACUUCCCGCUAGAGUUUAGAAGCGAUGGCCGCAGAAAGCAAUUAGGUGGCCAGGUUUCUGUUUGUUCUGGUGUUCUGUAUCUGUGGGGUUUGCUGCCAGUAUCCAU
Cygnus olor (mute swan) is the source of this 1894-nucleotide long non-coding RNA. RefSeq lists it as uncharacterized. The transcript has 2 exons. NCBI's taxonomy places the organism in Eukaryota, Metazoa, Chordata, Aves, Anseriformes, Anatidae. The record is from RefSeq and is a predicted model, not a curated record.